RNAcentral lists this ribosomal RNA (459 nucleotides) under uncultured bacterium. RNAcentral describes it as "partial 16S ribosomal RNA". It matches the Rfam family "Bacterial small subunit ribosomal RNA", at positions 338 to 795 of the family's 1533-position model. The record is from RNAcentral.
CCUACGGGUGGCAGCAGUGAGGAAUAUUGGUCAAUGGACGGAAGUCUGAACCAGCCAUGCCGCGUGCAGGAAGACGGCUCUAUGAGUUGUAAACUGCUUUUGUACAAGGGUAAACCUGAAUACGUGUAUUCUGCUGAACGUACUGUACGAAUAAGGAUCGGCUAACUCCGUGCCAGCAGCCGCGGUAAUACGGAGGAUCCAAGCGUUAUCCGGAUUUAUUGGGUUUAAGGGGGCGUAGGCGGAUUGGUAAGUUAGGGGGGAAAUGUCCGGGCUUAACCCGGGAACUGCCUCUAAUACUGUUAAUCUAGAGAGUAGGUGCGGUAGGCGGAAUGUAUGGUGUAGCGGUGAAAUGCUUAGAGAUCAUACAGAACACCGAUUGCGAAGGCAGCUUACCAAGCUAUAUCUGACGUUGAGGCACGAAAGCGUGGGGAGCAAACAGGAUUAGAUACCCGAGUAGUC